This 108-nucleotide small nuclear RNA is filed under the name Dasypus novemcinctus (nine-banded armadillo). Lineage: Eukaryota; Metazoa; Chordata; Mammalia; Cingulata; Dasypodidae. The record is from RNAcentral.
GUGCUUGCUUCAGCUUAUACUUAUACUAAAAUUGGAAUGAUACAGAGAAGAUUAGCAUGGCCCCUGAGCAAGGAUGACAUGCAAAUUCAUGAAGCAUUCCAUAUUUUC